This 492-nucleotide ribosomal RNA is filed under the name uncultured bacterium. RNAcentral describes it as "partial 16S ribosomal RNA". It matches the Rfam family "Bacterial small subunit ribosomal RNA", at positions 355 to 865 of the family's 1533-position model. The record is from RNAcentral.
UGGGGAAUCUUGCGCAAUGGGCGAAAGCCUGACGCAGCCAUGCCGCGUGAAUGAUGAAGGUCUUAGGAUUGUAAAAUUCUUUCACCGGGGACGAUAAUGACGGUACCCGGAGAAGAAGCCCCGGCUAACUUCGUGCCAGCAGCCGCGGUAAUACGAAGGGGGCUAGCGUUGCUCGGAAUUACUGGGCGUAAAGGGAGCGUAGGCGGACAUUUAAGUCAGGGGUGAAAUCCCGGGGCUCAACCUCGGAAUUGCCUUUGAUACUGGGUGUCUUGAGUGUGAGAGAGGUAUGUGGAACUCCGAGUGUAGAGGUGAAAUCCGUAGAUAUUCGGAAGAACACCAGUGGCGAAGGCGACAUACUGGCUCAUUACUGACGCUGAGGCUCGAAAGCGUGGGGAGCAAACAGGAUUAGAUACCCUGGUAGUCCACGCCGUAAACGAUGAUUGCUAGUUGUCGGGAUGCAUGCAUUUCGGUGACGCAGCUAACGCAUUAAGC